Molecule: transfer RNA, 73 nt
Filed under: Micromonospora sp. ALFpr18c
Lineage: Bacteria; Bacillati; Actinomycetota; Actinomycetes; Micromonosporales; Micromonosporaceae
Also listed under: 1 other name
Description: tRNA-Asn
Rfam family: tRNA
About the family: Transfer RNA (tRNA) molecules are approximately 80 nucleotides in length. Their secondary structure includes four short double-helical elements and three loops (D, anti-codon, and T loops).
Source: RNAcentral
UCCGGCGUCGCCCGAUCGGUAGAGCAGCGGACUGUUAAUCCGUCAGGUACUGGUUCGAAUCCAGUCGCCGGAG